UCGGGAAAUCCACUCGCCUAACGAGUGGGCGUCGGCGGACACUACAGGGCUUGGGACCGGAAGACUUGAGGGGUACGUCUGGGGUAGGAGUGAAAUCCUGUAAUCCUGGACGGACCGCCGAUAGCGAAAGCACCUCAAGACGACGGAUCCGACAGUGAGGGACGAAAGCUAGGGUCUCGAACCGGAUUAGAUACCCGGGU
RNAcentral lists this ribosomal RNA (200 nucleotides) under uncultured archaeon. Its description in RNAcentral is "partial 16S ribosomal RNA". It matches the Rfam family "Archaeal small subunit ribosomal RNA", at positions 542 to 742 of the family's 1478-position model. The record is from RNAcentral.